RNAcentral lists this unclassified non-coding RNA (253 nucleotides) under Glomeraceae sp. RNAcentral's name for it is "partial contains 5.8S ribosomal RNA and internal transcribed spacer 2". The stretch from base 1 to 65 matches the Rfam family "5.8S ribosomal RNA", at positions 84 to 154 of the family's 154-position model. Lineage: Eukaryota; Fungi; Glomeromycota; Glomeromycetes; Glomerales; Glomeraceae. The record is from RNAcentral.
GUGAAUCAUCAAAUCUUUGAACGCAAAUUGCACUCUCUUCGGAGAGUAUGCCUGUUUGAGGGUCAGUAUUAAUAAAAAUCGGCGUGUUUCUUCUUUGUGACGCUCCGGAGUUUGGGUCAUCUUAAUAUCCUUUAGGUUUUAAGAGGCUUAAAAUUGACUUUUUUUGCGAAUUUUAGAUGUAUAUAAAUUCUUUUUUUUUUUCUUUUGUUUUAAUGCUUAAAUUCUUAUUAGCUGUGACCAUAACGUGUGGCUU